RNAcentral lists this unclassified non-coding RNA (231 nucleotides) under uncultured fungus. Its description in RNAcentral is "sequence contains ITS1, 5.8S rRNA gene". The stretch from base 183 to 231 matches the Rfam family "5.8S ribosomal RNA", at positions 1 to 49 of the family's 154-position model. Lineage: Eukaryota; Fungi. The record is from RNAcentral.
UCUCCGUAGGUGAACCUGCGGAGGGAUCAUUACUGAGUGAGGGCUUCGGUCCGACCUCCAACCCUUUGUGAACCAAACUUGUUGCUUCGGGGGCGACCCUGCCGUUCGCGGCGUGGGGCCCCCGGUGGUCCACACCUCAACUCUUGCAUCUGUGCGUCUGAGUAACAUAUUGAAUCAAUCAAAACUUUCAACAACGGAUCUCUUGGUUCUGGCAUCGAUGAAGAACGCAGC